UGCUCGCUCAAAGAAUCGCAUUCAAAGCUCUCAAACAGAAGUAUCUCUUAUGAUUCUUCAAUUGAAACAUAAUUUUCAAUAUUGCUUUGGGAGAAAGUCCCCGGACAUCCUUCAUUGAAAGGCAUGCGGAAACGCACCGCCAUAGAAGUACUUGCGGUUUAUCCUUUGUCUGGAUCUAUUUACUCACAUGGCACACUCUCGUUCAAAACCUAACAUUAACUACUCUUUAGGACUUCAUAUCAUAAGUGAGAUGACCUGAGAGGCGAAGAUAUGAGCCCGAGCUUCUCAUGGACGAUUUGAUGGCACGAAAAAGAAAUUUUUGUUAGAAAUGACUUGUAUGUUUUGAGUUUAUAGUAAUCGAUGACAGAGGGAAUUCUAUCGUCGUGAAUUAUAGUUAUGCGAUUGUUCACCUUGCUACGUAAGUAGCUUGGUGAGUAACUCGAUGGGGCUUAUUCUUGAUACGAGC
This 466-nucleotide RNase MRP RNA is filed under the name Erysiphe necator (grape powdery mildew). RNAcentral describes it as "RNase MRP". It matches the Rfam family "RNase MRP". Rfam says of the family: RNase MRP is an enzymatically active ribonucleoprotein with two distinct roles in eukaryotes. In mitochondria it plays a direct role in the initiation of mitochondrial DNA replication. Lineage: Eukaryota; Fungi; Ascomycota; Leotiomycetes; Helotiales; Erysiphaceae. The record is from Rfam by way of RNAcentral.